This 191-nucleotide non-coding RNA is filed under the name Deltaproteobacteria bacterium. The record is from RNAcentral. Lineage: Bacteria; Pseudomonadati; Myxococcota; Myxococcia.
UAAGUGAAUUUUCUCUUGAGUGAUCCCAUUGUGGGAGAGAGGGAAGUCGGUGAAAAUCCGACACGGACGCGCCACUGUGAGAAGAAAUUCCUUGUUGCGAUAAAGAGUCACUGCUGAUCUUUCAGCGGGAAGGCGAGCAACGGGGGAGGAAUUCUUCAAGUCAGGAAACCUGCUCAGAGCGUUUUUUAUCC